AAUCCAAAUGAUUGAAAACAAAACAUGCCUUUAAAUAAAACCAAUUCUUCACACUAGUAGGUCGAACUAAUACAAUCAGUGGAUUGCAUUUGGUUGUAUAUGUAAAGUUUUUUAAAAAGGAUAAUUUUAAUUUACAUGAUUAUUUUAAAUUUCCCAACCUUUUUCAUCUACUCCAAUUUCUUAAUCAAAAAACCAUACAUGUCAUUGCAAAUACUACCUUUUCUUCCAUUUCAUUCUCAAAACUUGAAUCA
RNAcentral lists this long non-coding RNA (251 nucleotides) under Physcomitrium patens. RNAcentral describes it as "long non-coding RNA (PPAT_LNC013630)". Lineage: Eukaryota; Viridiplantae; Streptophyta; Bryopsida; Funariales; Funariaceae. The record is from RNAcentral.